Molecule: long non-coding RNA, 940 nt
Filed under: Setaria italica (foxtail millet)
Lineage: Eukaryota; Viridiplantae; Streptophyta; Magnoliopsida; Poales; Poaceae
Description: long non-coding RNA (SITA_LNC005061)
Source: RNAcentral
UACACCCCGUUCACCUCAUCUACCACGCAGCAGAUAGUGUUCUCGUGGGUCUUCCAUUUGUUUUGUUCCCCAUCGCAGUCUUCAGCUGCUGUGCGUGUGGGCGCUCCGGGAGGAAGGCCCAGAUGUGGAGGAAGAGGAGGAGGAUGAUAACGAAGAUGUCGUCUGGCAGCACAUAGCGGUGGCCUCGCUGGCUUCUCAGCAUCGAAGGAGUGGCUUUGCACGCUUGGACCUGGCCGUGAUCCUGCCAGCCAUCGCUCUGGCCCAUGGAGAGGGUCAUGGACUCAUGGAGGUGAUGGCCAUGCAUGGCAGAGCUGCUCAGGGCCAAAGGGGAGGAGCAGGAGAUGCUUGAGUGUCUCGUGCUCGUUUUGCUCCUGUCCUUGAUCCACGGAGGAGAUGCUUGCGGAUAGGUCCUAGGAGGACAUGCCAGCGACAAGGAAGCAGUUCUAUACUAUUGGGUUACAUAUUGCUCGUGUAAGUACAGUUCUAUACCGUUACCAUACAGCUCCAAUGCAGAUUUACAUAAAUGUUUUUUCACUAACUAUUUAUCUGCAAUGCAGAUUUGCAUAAAUUAUGGAAAAUGAAACUGCACUACCCUUUAUCUCCAGAUGUAGAGAGUUUACAGCUUCACUGAAAAAUGUAACAGCAAUUUGCUUGAAAAUUAUUCUUCUGAUGAUGCCAAAUCAAACGUACUUCCAAAUUACAAAUCAGAUAAAGUACAAACCAGUUAUAUAGCCAAAGUGUACAAUAUGGAUGUUCCUUCAGCUCAUUACCGACGCAUUUCAUCUUGGAACAGAUUAGACUGAUGCUGGCGGUGGAGCUGAAUAUGCUGAUUGAUUACCUUGAACAGACAGUACUAGAUAUGCACUGAAGAAAUUGUAAUCCAUGCAAGUUUCUACAGUCAUUGUACCUUCCAGUACCUUAACUACCGUUGACAUUGAUG